AUCUUGUGAAGAGGAUAAUUUCUAAAAACAUCUUUGAAUCUCUCCCAUGAUUGGUAUAAAUUCUCUUUGGCAUUCUACUUGAAACAUAAUAUUUAACUUCUUAACCU
Molecule: non-coding RNA, 107 nt
Organism: Capsicum annuum
Lineage: Eukaryota; Viridiplantae; Streptophyta; Magnoliopsida; Solanales; Solanaceae
Source: Rfam